GGCUCGUUAGUCAAGAGGUUAAGACACGGCCCUUUCACGGCUGAGGCAGGAGUUCGAUUCUCCUACGAGUCA
This 72-nucleotide transfer RNA is filed under the name Clostridiales bacterium. Its description in RNAcentral is "tRNA-Glu". It matches the Rfam family "tRNA". From Rfam's summary of the family: Transfer RNA (tRNA) molecules are approximately 80 nucleotides in length. Their secondary structure includes four short double-helical elements and three loops (D, anti-codon, and T loops). Further hydrogen bonds mediate the characteristic L-shaped molecular structure. tRNAs have two regions of fundamental functional importance: the anti-codon, which is responsible for specific mRNA codon recognition, and the 3' end, to which the tRNAs corresponding amino acid is attached (by aminoacyl-tRNA synthetases). tRNAs cope with the degeneracy of the genetic code in two manners: having more than one tRNA (with a specific anti-codon) for a particular amino acid; and 'wobble' base-pairing, i.e. permitting non-standard base-pairing at the 3rd anti-codon position. The record is from RNAcentral. Lineage: Bacteria; Bacillati; Bacillota; Clostridia; Eubacteriales.